UACAGAGGUCCCAAGCGUUGUUCGGAUUCAUUGGGCGUAAAGGGUGCGUAGGCGGCGCGGUAAGUCGGGUGUGAAAUCUCCGGGCUCAACCCGGAAACUGCAUUGCGAACUGACCUAGCUGGAGUGCAGGAGAGGGCAGCGGAAUUCCCGGUGUAGCGGUGAAAUGCGUAGAUAUCGGGAAGAACACCAGUGGCGAAGGCGGCUGCCUGGCCUGUAACUGACGCUGAGACGCGAAAGCGUGGGGAGCGAACCGG
Molecule: ribosomal RNA, 254 nt
Filed under: uncultured bacterium
Lineage: Bacteria
Description: partial 16S ribosomal RNA
Rfam family: Bacterial small subunit ribosomal RNA
Source: RNAcentral